RNAcentral lists this ribosomal RNA (1927 nucleotides) under seawater metagenome. RNAcentral describes it as "bacterial LSU rRNA". It matches the Rfam family "Bacterial large subunit ribosomal RNA", at positions 1 to 1996 of the family's 2925-position model. The record is from RNAcentral.
UGGAGUUCAGACGUGUGCUCUUCCGAUCUCUUGGCGACAACAGGCGAUGAAGGACGUAGUAGCCUGCGAUAAGUCACGGGGAGCUGGCAAACAAGCUUUGAUCCGUGAAUUUCCGAAUGGGGAAACCCACCCAGCUUGCUGGGUACUGUGCACUGAAUACAUAGGUGUAUGGAGCGAACCCGGGGAACUGAAACAUCUAAGUACCCGGAGGAAAAGAAAUCAACCGAGAUUCCGCAAGUAGUGGCGAGCGAACGCGGAGUAGCCCUUAAGUGUGUGAAACCUAGCAGAACAGUCUGGAAAGGCUGGCCAUAGUGGGUGAUAGCCCCGUAUGCGAAAGGCCAAACACAUGAAAUCGAGUAAGGCGAGGCACGUGAAACCUUGUCUGAACAUGGGGGGACCAUCCUCCAAGGCUAAAUACUCGUUGUCGACCGAUAGUGAACCAGUACCGUGAGGGAAAGGCGAAAAGAACCCCGGCUAGGGGAGUGAAAUAGAACCUGAAACCGGAUGCGUACAAGCAGUCAGAGCGGACUUGUUCCGUGAUGGCGUACCUUUUGUAUAAUGGGUCAGCGACUUACUUGUCUGUAGCAAGCCUAACCGAAUAGGGGAGGCGCAGGGAAACCGAGUCUGAAUAGGGCGCAUAGUUGCAGGCAGUAGACCCGAAACCCGUCGAUCUAUCCAUGACCAGGGUGAAGUUGUGGUAACACACAAUGGAGGCCCGAACUCACGCCUGUUGAAAAAGUCGGAGAUGAGUUGUGGAUAGGAGUGAAAGGCUAAUCAAGGCGGGUGAUAGCUGGUUCUCCUCGAAAGCUAUUUAGGUAGCGCCUCGUGUAUGACUCCGGGGGGUAGAGCACUGUUACGGUCUGGGGGGUGCACAAGUACCUACCCAACUGUUGCAAACUCCGAAUACCCGGAAGUAUUGAGCACGGGAGACACACGGUGGGAGCUAAAUUCCAUCGUGAAAAGGGAAACAGCCCUGACCGCCAGCUAAGGUCCCAAAAUCUCAGCUAAGUGGGAAACGAUGUGGGAAGUCACAGACAGCCAGGAUGUUGGCUUAGAAGCAGCCAUCAUUUAAAGAAAGCGUAAUAGCUCACUGGUCGAGUCGGCCCGCGCGGAAGAUGUAACGGGGCUCAAGCUGAGUACCGAAGCUGCGGAUGCACACGCAAGUGUGUGUGGUAGAGGAGCGUUCUGUAAGCCUGUGAAGGUGACUCGUAAGGGUUGCUGGAGGUAUCAGAAGUGCGAAUGCUGACAUGAGUAACGACAAGAACGGUGAAAAACCGUUCCGCCGUAAGCCCAAGGGUUCCAGCGCAACGAUAUUCGGCGCUGGGUGAGUCGGAUCCUAAGGCGAGGCCGAGAGGCGUAGUCGAUGGAAAACGGGUUAAUAUUCCCGUACUUGCGAUUGCUGCGAUGGGGUGACGGAGAAAGUUAGGGUGGCUUCCUGUUGGAUGGGAGUUCAAGCGUUUAGGCAGGUCUCUUAGGCAAAUCCGGGAGAUCAAUGCUGAGGCGUGACGUCGAGGCUCAAUUGAGCCGGAGCACCUGAUACUCAGCUUCCAAGAAAAGCCUCUAAGCUUCAGGCAGUCGUGAUCCGUACCCCAAACCGACACAGGUGGGCGAGGAGAGUAUCCUAAGGCGUUUGAGACAACUCGGAUGAAGGAACUCGGCAAAUUGGUGCCGUAACUUCGGGAGAAGGCACGCCCACGCAAGUGGGCCGCAGUGAAGAGGGAGUGGCAACUGUUUAUCAAAAACACAGGACUCUGCAAACACGAAAGUGGACGUAUAGGGUCUGACACCUGCCCGGUGCUGGAAGGUUAAUUGAUGGGGUCAACCGCAAGGUGAAGCUCUUGAUCGAAGCCCCAGUAAACGGCGGCCGUAACGAUAACGGUCCUAAGGUAGCGAAAUUCCUUGUCGGGUAAGUUCCGACCUGCACGAA